UCCGUAGGGUGCAAGCGUUGUCCGGAAUUAUUGGGCGUAAAGAGUUUGUAGGCGGUUUGUCGCGUCUGCUGUGAAAUUUCGGGGCUCAACCCCGAACUUGCAGUGGGUACGGGCAGACUAGAGUGUGGUAGGGGAGACUGGAAUUCCUGGUGUAGCGGUGAAAUGCGCAGAUAUCAGGAGGAACACCGAUGGCGAAGGCAGGUCUCUGGGCCAUAACUGACGCUGAGAAGCGAAAGCAUGGGGAGCGAACAGG
RNAcentral lists this ribosomal RNA (253 nucleotides) under uncultured bacterium. RNAcentral's name for it is "partial 16S ribosomal RNA". It matches the Rfam family "Bacterial small subunit ribosomal RNA", at positions 524 to 776 of the family's 1533-position model. The record is from RNAcentral.